AAGACAGCACUUUAAUUCAAAUCCAGAACAGUUGCCGAGCCGUCUCCAGAAAAGCAUGAGUCGACUCCUGCAACAGGCGAGUCGACUCCAGAUCGCGCGAGUCGACUCCGAUCCCAACGGAAAUAUUGUCAGGAGGUACAGACUGUGUCCAACGGCUCUAUUUUUGUCUCUAACGGCUAGAUUUUUGUUUCCACGCCAUCUAAAGCUAUAAAAUCAAGAGGAGAGCUAGGGGAGAAGGCAUGGAAGUGGGAGAGAACACUUAGGAAAGAGAUCUCAAAGAAAAAUCUCCCAAAAGCACAAAAGGGCCAUUCAAAGCGAAAUAGAGAGAAGAAGGUCAUUCAAGUGAAUCCCAAAGCUUCCUCUUCAACUGUGUGCUGCCUCAGUGAUCUUCUACCUCGUGCCAAAUCAGAAGAGGGUCAAGUAAAGAAGAAGCCGAGUUCCUUCAUCUACAAAUUUGUUUGAGGGCUUCUUCUCUUUACUUUACUUGUUUAUAUUUGCUAUAUUUGCUUAUUUGAGAAGCUUGUAUUUGAUUUAAAUUCUUGCUCUAAUAUCUUGUAACUUGAUUCAAUCAAGGGAGUGAAUCAAGGGGUUAAGGUUUGUUGGUGAGCCAAAGGGAAAAACCAACGUUGUAAGGUUGUGGUUGGUGAGCCUUUGGAAAAACCAACUGGGUUGGAUUGUGAGCCCGUGAAAACAAUCGGUUGGUUAUAGUCGGUGAGCCUAUGAAAACCGACCGAGUUCGUUGUGAUCUCGCAAAACAACAAGUUGGGUUGUGAGCUUGUAAAACAACCGAUUGUAAUCUGAGGGAUUAUAGUAAAAUUCCCAAGAGGUCUUGGGGAGUGGAUGUAGGUGCUGGGGUGCACCGAACCACUAUAUAUCUUUGUGUUUGUGAUGCCUUAUUUCUUGCGUUUCAUGCCUUACAUACAUACUUGACUGUGUAAUAUCUCUAGCUUUAUUUCCUAAUU
Molecule: long non-coding RNA, 962 nt
Filed under: Phoenix dactylifera (date palm)
Lineage: Eukaryota; Viridiplantae; Streptophyta; Magnoliopsida; Arecales; Arecaceae
Description: long non-coding RNA (PDAC_LNC013579)
Source: RNAcentral